RNAcentral lists this microRNA precursor (59 nucleotides) under Scyliorhinus torazame (cloudy catshark). RNAcentral describes it as "Sto-Mir-144_pre stem-loop". Lineage: Eukaryota; Metazoa; Chordata; Chondrichthyes; Carcharhiniformes; Scyliorhinidae. The record is from RNAcentral.
GGAUAUCAUCAUAUACUGUAAGUUCACUAUUAAUGUACUACAGUAUAGAUGAUGUACUA